UGCAACUAUUAUCCUCAAAAGG
This 22-nucleotide small RNA is filed under the name Arabidopsis thaliana (thale cress). RNAcentral's name for it is "ATSL195940". Lineage: Eukaryota; Viridiplantae; Streptophyta; Magnoliopsida; Brassicales; Brassicaceae. The record is from RNAcentral.